AACGUCGUGAGACAGUUUGGUCCCUAUCCGCCGCGGGCGCUGGAGGACUGAGGGGGACUGCUCCCAGUACGAGAGGACCGGAGUGGACGCGCCUCUGGUUUACGGGCUGUCACGCCGGUGGCACCGCCCGGCAGCCAAGCGCGGAACCGAUAACCGCUGAAGGCAUCUAAGCGGGAAGCGGGCCCCGAGAUGAGUCCUCCCUGAGCUUAGGCUCACUGAAGGGACGUUGCAGACUACGACGUUGAUAGGCCGGAAGUGGAAGCGCGGCGACGCGUGAAGCCUGCCGGUACUAAUGAACCGUGAGGCCUGACCGU
RNAcentral lists this ribosomal RNA (314 nucleotides) under Candidatus Avisuccinivibrio pullicola. RNAcentral describes it as "partial 23S ribosomal RNA". It matches the Rfam family "Bacterial large subunit ribosomal RNA", at positions 2615 to 2925 of the family's 2925-position model. The record is from RNAcentral. Lineage: Bacteria; Pseudomonadati; Pseudomonadota; Gammaproteobacteria; Aeromonadales; Succinivibrionaceae.